Molecule: ribosomal RNA, 3846 nt
Filed under: Triticum aestivum (bread wheat)
Lineage: Eukaryota; Viridiplantae; Streptophyta; Magnoliopsida; Poales; Poaceae
Description: partial small subunit ribosomal RNA
Source: RNAcentral
AUGCUGUCGGACGGCGGCGACGACGACAGCUCCGCCCCCGCGCGGUUCGAGCUGCAGGAGGACCCCUCCUUCUGGAAGGACAACAACGUGCAGGUCGUGAUUCGUGUCCGGCCGCUCAGCAGCAGCGAGAUAUCGGUGCAGGGGGACAAGAGGUGCGUCAGGCAGGACAGCGGCCAGAGCAUCACCUGGACCUGCCACCCGGAGUCCCGGUUCACCUUUGAUCUAGUCGCCGAUGAGCACAUCACGCAGGAGAGUCUUUUCAAGGUUGCUGGGGUGCCCAUGGUGGAGAACUGCAUGGCUGGCUAUAACAGCUGCAUGUUUGCCUAUGGGCAGACCGGUAGUGGCAAGACCCACACGAUGCUUGGGGACAUAGAAAAUGGCACACGGGGAAACAAUGAGAACUGUGGUAUGACGCCUCGAGUGUUUGAGCAUCUCUUCCUAAGAAUCCAGAAGGAAAAGGAAAUACGAAGAGAUGAAAAGCUCAGUUUUACUUGCAAGUGCUCAUUCCUGGAGAUAUAUAAUGAGCAGAUUCUGGAUUUGCUCAAUCCAAAUGCAACAAACUUACAGUUAAGGGAGGAUGCGAAAAGGGGUAUGCAUGUUGAGAAUCUGACUGAACAUGAGGUUUCUAAUGCCCGAGAAGCACUGCAACAACUUAUCGAGGGGGCAGCAAACAGAAAGGUGGCAUCUACCAAUAUGAACCGAGCAAGUAGCCGUUCUCAUAGUGUAUUCACUUGUCUUAUAGAGAGCAAGUGGGAAUCUCAAGGUAUCAAGCAUCAUCGAUUUUCUCAUCUUAACCUUGUUGACCUUGCUGGCUCAGAGAGGCAAAAGAGUUCAGGUGCAGAAGGGGAACGCUUGAAGGAAGCUUCGAACAUCAACAAGUCACUCUCAACCUUAGGACAUGUUAUUACCAGCCUUAUUGCUGUGUCAAACAAAAAGUCACAGCAUGUUCCCUACCGAGAUUCAAAAUUGACAUUUCUGCUGCAGGACUCACUUGGAGGUAACUCCAAGACCACUAUAAUUGCAAAUAUAAGCCCAUCUAGCUGCUGUGCAGCUGAGACAUUGAGCACAUUAAAAUUCGCGCAACGGGCUAAGCACAUACGGAAUAAUGCUAUUAUAAAUGAGGAUGCCUCUGGUGAUGUGCUGAGCAUGCGUUUAGAGAUCCAACAUCUCAAGAAAGAGCUUAGUCGCCUGCAAGGACAAUCUGGAUUUACUAACAAUGGAUUUGUCUGCGAGUCCCCUAGCGCAUUCAAAUGGGAUCAAGCUAAUGGCACAUUCAGUCCACUUAUGUUUGAUAAGAGAGCUACACAGAGGAGAGAUUAUGAUAUUACACUUGCCGCUGCAUUUAGGAGGGAGCAGGAAAAAGAAGCAAAGCUAAAGGCAGCAAUUGCUGCAAAGCAGAUUGCCGAAGAGCUGGUGACUCAAAGAUCAGAAGAGGUGAGAAGUUUCAGGAUGAGGCUUCGCUUUCGUGAAGAUCGAAUCAAGAGAUUGGAGCAAGUUGCAUCGGGGAAGUUAUCCGCUGAAGCACAUCUCUUGCAAGAAAAGGAAGACCUCAUGAAGGAAAUUGAAGCUCUACGGAACCAACUAGAACGAAAUCCAGAAAUUACAAGAUUUGCUAUGGAAAAUCUACAACUGAAGGAGGAGAUUCGAAGGUUGCAGUCAUUUGUUGAUGAAGGAGAAUUGGAAAGAAUGCAUCAGCAGAUAAAUGUUUUAGAACAUCAGCUCCUAGAAGCACUUGACUGGAAACUUAUGAAUGAGAAGGAUCCUGUUAACAAGGACCUCUCACUAUUUGGGGAGGAAGCUGGUGAUGAGAAAAACGAGUUUCUUCUUGUGCAGGCUAUCCAAAAUGAGAGAGAAAUCGAGUCACUACGUAAAAAUUUGAGCGUCUGUCUUCAAGCAAAAGAGAAACUCGAGAGGCGUGUUGAUGAUUUGACUGUGGAGUUGGAGGUAGCGAAGAAAUGCGACCAUGAGAACAAAGAAUUUAAGGCUGCACAGCACCAGGAACAGUCCGUCUUGCUUGAUGCUCAGACAGAACUUAAGACAUUGGUAGAUGCAAUAGCAACUGCAAGUCAAAGAGAAGCAGAAGCUCAUGAAACUGCAAUUGGGUUGGCCAAAGAGAAUGAGAAAUUGAGAACAGAGCUUACGACCCUGAUCGAGGAUAACAAGAGACUGGUUGAUCUCUAUGAACAGGCUAUUGUCAACAUUGAGGUGAAACAACAUGGAAAUUAUCCUUCCAUUCCUCAAACUGAAGAUUCGAAUGAGCAGCAGAGCAGCCAUCCUUCUAAUGGAGGGAAUAGCCUGCUGGAUGACCAACCAGAGGGUGCAUAUGGUUCACGUAGUGAUGCUGUAGAAGAGCCUAUGAUAGUGGAUGAAAACUGCAGCCACAAGGAUGACCCUUCGAGAUCUGAAUUUUCAGAACUGCAGCUUCAACUGGAAGAGAUGCAUGAAGAAAAUGAUAAACUUAUGAGUUUGUAUGAGAAAGCAAUGCAAGAAAGGGAUGAAUUUAAAAGGAAAUUUUCUGAGCAAAGCAAUCAUGAAACCACAGAAGACGUUCAGUUCAGAGAUGCUGAAAUGGAUGAAGCAAUGGAUACCAUGCAAAGCAAUCCUGAAACUACAGAAGACAUUCAGUUCAGAGAUGCUGAAAUGGAUAGUAUGCUAAGCAAUCUUGAAAGUUCAGAAGACAUUCAGUUCAGAGAUGCUGAAACCGAUGCUGAGGGUUUCCAAGGAGAGCAUGUACAUGACUCUCCAAUUGUAGCUUUCAAAGAAGCGAUGCAGCUUGUCCGUGUCAAGCUGGAGCAUGUCCAAGACAAGCUUGUGACUGCCCAGGAUGCAGUGCAAUAUUUCAAGCUACUUGAAAUGGCUAGCACCAAGGCAGAAGAACUUUCAUCAAGCAUUCAGCUCUGCUGUCUAGAUGUCCAGAAAGAGCAGGAAGACAUCAACGCCCUCAAGUCCGCACUGUCAAUAUCACACGAGAGAGAAAACGCUUUGGAAGGCAAGUUUUUCUCGCCUGUGGCAUCAUGCCAGGACUUGCAUUUGAAAACCGAAGCCCUUGCCGGGUCCAAGUUUGGCGUCAAUGUUCAAUCAAUGAAUAAAAAGAUGGAGCAGUUGAGUAGGUUGAGAACUCGCAAAACCGAGAUUUCCGCUGCACGUGCAGAGGCACGCAGGUCUGAAACCGAGCUGAGAAACAAAAUCGAUGGCCUUAAACAGAAAUACCGUUCCUUCGAGGCCCAAAGGAAGGAGACAGAAAGGGUUCUCUUCGCCAUCGACAACCUGGAGUGCCCCGCGACUCCGUUGCAGAAGCCCAUGAAUUUCGGCAAGGCGUCGGAGCUGCUGAAGUCCGAGGAGGAGAGGACAAAGCUCUUGUCUGAACUGAAGAAGUUCCGCGAGCAGCUUAGCGUGGUGCAGAAGGAGAUCAAGAGCAUGAGGAACUGCGACGACAUCGACGGUGAGAUGUCGCGCCUUGAAUCGGAGAUGGAGGGCUGCUUCCUCUCCCUGCUGGAAGCCGAGACCGAGAAGUUUGUGCGGGAUCACACCUUGGCCGAAGUCUGGGAGGUUCAGCAGAAGGACUUGCCGAGCCUACUGGUCGACUACCAGGACAGCGUUUUCCAUGUGAAGCUGGAGGAGGAGCAGAUCAGGGUGUGCGAGGCGUCGUUGCAGCACCAGACGACGUCCCUGGACGAGAUGAACUCGAAGCUGAGCCAGGCGAUGCGGGACCUCGGCGAGCUUCUGGUUGCCAGAGGUUUGGACGCCUCCACGCCGCACGUCUCCGACAAGGUGAAGGGGGACCUCGACGCCAUCGAGGCCCAUGUCGCCGAGGCCAGGCAGCUCUUGCUCGUCGACAACCAAUAA